This 301-nucleotide ribosomal RNA is filed under the name uncultured bacterium. Its description in RNAcentral is "partial 16S ribosomal RNA". It matches the Rfam family "Bacterial small subunit ribosomal RNA", at positions 509 to 807 of the family's 1533-position model. The record is from RNAcentral.
CAGCCGCCACGGGAAUACGUAGGGUGCGAGCGUUAAUCGGAAUUACUGGGCGUAAAGCGUGCGCAGGCGGUUGUGUAAGACAGAUGUGAAAUCCCCGGGCUUAACCUGGGAACUGCAUUUGUGACUGGCGGGCUAGAGUAUGGCAGAGGGGGGUAGAAUUCCACGUGUAGCAGUGAAAUGCGUAGAGAUGUGGAGGAACACCAGUGGCGAAGGCGACUCUCUGGUCUGUAACUGACGCUGAGGCGCGAAAGCGUGGGGAGCAAACAGGAUUAGAUACCCCUGUAGUCCCUGUCUCUUAUAC